AGUGAACGCUGGCGGCAGGCCUAAUACAUGCAAGUCGAACGGCAGCACAGCAGAGCUUGCUCUGUGGGUGGCGAGUGGCGGACGGGUGAGGAAUACAUGGGAAUCUGCCCAGUCGUGGGGGAUAACGUAUGGAAACGUACGCUAAUACCGCAUGCGCCCUACGGGGGAAAGCCGGGGACCGCAAGGCCUGGCGCGAUUGGAUGAGCCCAUGUUCGAUUAGCUAGUUGGCGGGGUAAAGGCCCACCAAGGCGACGAUCGAUAGCUGGUCUGAGAGGAUGAUCAGCCACACUGGAACUGAGACACGGUCCAGACUCCUACGGGAGGCAGCAGUAGGGAAUAUUGGACAAUGGGGGCAACCCUGAUCCAGCCAUGCCGCGUGAGUGAAGAAGGCCCUCGGGUUGUAAAGCUCUUUUGUCCGGAAAGAAAGCAUUCGGUUAAUACCCGGGUGUUCUGACGGUACCGGAAGAAUAAGCACGGCUAACUCGUGCCAGC
This 492-nucleotide ribosomal RNA is filed under the name uncultured bacterium. RNAcentral describes it as "bacterial SSU rRNA". It matches the Rfam family "Bacterial small subunit ribosomal RNA", at positions 29 to 512 of the family's 1533-position model. The record is from RNAcentral.